GCCUUGGUGGCUCAGUAGUUAAGUGUUUGGCUGUUAACCGAAAGGUUGGCAGUUCAAAUCCACCCAGAGGCU
This 72-nucleotide transfer RNA is filed under the name Loxodonta africana (African savanna elephant). It matches the Rfam family "tRNA". From Rfam's summary of the family: Transfer RNA (tRNA) molecules are approximately 80 nucleotides in length. Lineage: Eukaryota; Metazoa; Chordata; Mammalia; Proboscidea; Elephantidae. The record is from Rfam by way of RNAcentral.